Molecule: ribosomal RNA, 624 nt
Filed under: uncultured bacterium
Lineage: Bacteria
Description: bacterial SSU rRNA
Rfam family: Bacterial small subunit ribosomal RNA
Source: RNAcentral
GUCGAGCGGUAACAGGGGAGCUUGCUCCUGCUGACGAGCGGCGGACGGGUGAGUAACGCGUGGGAAUCUGCCCAUUGGUGGGGGAUAGCCCGGAGAAAUUCGGAUUAAUACCGCAUAAUACCUGAGGGUUAAAACGGGGGAUCAUUAGACCUCGUGCCAAUGGAUGAGCCCGCGUCAGAUUAGCUAGUUGGUAAGGUAAAGGCUUACCAAGGCGACGAUCUGUAGCUGGCCUGAGAGGGUGGUCAGUCACACUGGAACUGAGACACGGUCCAGACUCCUACGGGAGGCAGCAGUGGGGAAUAUUGGGCAAUGGGCGCAAGCCUGACCCAGCCAUGCCGCGUGUGUGAAGAAGGCUUUCGGGUUGUAAAGCACUUUAAGUUGGGAGGAAGGCUGCUUAGUUAAUACCUAAGUAGAUUGACGUUACCAACAGAAUAAGCACCGGCUAAUUCCGUGCCAGCAGCCGCGGUAAUACGGAAGGUGCGAGCGUUAAUCGGAAUUACUGGGCGUAAAGCGCACGCAGGCGGUUAUAUAAGCUAGAUGUGAAAGCCCCGGGCUCAACCUGGGAAUAGCAUUUAGAACUGUAUGACUAGAGUCUUGGAGAGGGGGGUGGAAUUCCAGGUGUAG